UACGGAAGGCAGCAGUGGGGAAUAUUGCACAAUGGGCGCAAGCCUGAUGCAGCCAUGCCGCGUGUAUGAAGAAGGCCUUCGGGUUGUAAAGUACUUUCAGUCGUGAGGAAGGUGUUAAGGUUAAUAACCUUAGCAAUUGACGUUAGCGACAGAAGAAGCACCGGCUAACUCCGUGCCAGCAGCCGCGGUAAUACGGAGGGUGCGAGCGUUAAUCGGAAUUACUGGGCGUAAAGGGCACGCAGGCGGUUAAUAAGUUGGAUGUGAAUCCCCGGGCUUAACCUGGGAAUGGCAUUCAAGACUGGUUAGCUAGAGUCUUGUAGAGGGGGUAGAAUUCCAUGUGCAGCGGUGAAAUGCGUAGAGAUGUGGAGGAAUACCGGGUGGCGAAGGCGGCCCCUGGGACAAAGACUGACGCUCAUGUGCGAAAGCGUGGGGAGCAAACAGGAUUAGAUACC
This 452-nucleotide ribosomal RNA is filed under the name uncultured bacterium. Its description in RNAcentral is "bacterial SSU rRNA". It matches the Rfam family "Bacterial small subunit ribosomal RNA", at positions 340 to 786 of the family's 1533-position model. The record is from RNAcentral.